GAGGCCUGAAGCCUUCUGGUGUUUUAUGGUGUUACUCUGUGUGGGAAAGGGGUGGACAGGAUGUUGCAAGUCUUAUCGCUUUUCAGUUAACAGGACUGCCAGGGUCCCCUCUGCAUGACCGCUGCAAAACCAGUUAGGAUGGCUCAUGACGCAGCACAGGAUCCACUGAAGGCUACUGCUACUAUUAAAAUUCUAUCCUACAAUCAAGGACCAGUGAAGAGUCAGCCUGAAUCCCACAGUGAAAGAGG
Molecule: long non-coding RNA, 248 nt
Organism: Zonotrichia leucophrys gambelii
Lineage: Eukaryota; Metazoa; Chordata; Aves; Passeriformes; Passerellidae
Exons: 3
Source: RefSeq, a predicted model, not a curated record